This is a long non-coding RNA of Lolium rigidum, 1581 nucleotides long. RefSeq lists it as uncharacterized. Lineage: Eukaryota; Viridiplantae; Streptophyta; Magnoliopsida; Poales; Poaceae. The transcript has 4 exons. The record is from RefSeq and is a predicted model, not a curated record.
CUCUCAACGUUAACCAUGUUGGACCGUCGGAUGGAUUUCUGAGUACUUCACCCUCCUGGUUGUUAGCAUUAAGUCUAAUUUACAGCCAUGUCUUCUUUGGGAUUACCUUUGUUUUCUAUAACAUCAGGUUUUGAGAUGUUAUAUUAUCUUUUACCAGUAAAUAAUACUUUUCUGGAAUUACAUCAUUAUGACAAGCAAAUUUAUUUUUUUUACCAGUGUGAAUAGGUUCUUGACUGCUUGCUCACGAGUUCUUCUUUGUUUAUAGUUUUCAUAAACUUCGUCCAGGAGCAGCAAGGCAACAUACAACAGAUUGUCCACAAGAACUAUGUUCAUAAUCAGGGCUACUUCUUGGACAAGUCGGCAUCAUAUUUUGCUGAUUUAUGGGAUUCAAGUGGCACGUUUGUGAUUAGGCAUGUAUUUUAGAAGAAAAAAUGUCAAGAUAUUUGUCUUAAGAAUGGAUUUGAUAGUCAAAAUAGAACAAAGUUUCCAAAAUAAAUCACAAGGAGAUUCCAUGAUAUGGAGCACAAGUCCCCGACGAAACAAUCCGAGGUAAUCAAAUCCAGUCCAACCCAACUAUCUGAUGCCCACCCUAUUCGAACGAACAAUGCCACUCCUAUGUACAUGAUUGUCUGAACUAAGAUCAUAAAUGGAAAUGCAUAACUCGGAGGCAACACGGCAGUCGAGGAGAUGGUUGGUCUAUGCAUGUGAGGCUAAAUUCUCUUACACUUUCACCAUCUUAUAAGCCAUAUUUCAUUUCGUUUAUUUCCAGACUUUUCAGUUUUGUAAUAUGCUUAUUAGGCACUCAUCAAUCGAUAUUUUUUCGUGUGUCUAUUGAUUAAUGAUCUUAGUACAAUGCAUUAAGUCUAAUUAUAUUGUUUUAUCAUGUUUUGCAGGUCGUAUGCAGUUACCUUGCAAAUUGCAAAGCAUAUUGCCGGUUGUAAAGGUUAGAAUGAGAGUUAGCAGAUAAUGCUGAUAGCGUUGGUCAAGAGAUUCAACAAUGUAAUCAUCUUGCUACGAACACCGGAGUCCUUCAAAUUUUCCCCUGAAACCCAUUGGUACUUAGCUAGGAAAUUGUUGAAGUUCAGUUAGCAAAAUUGACUACUGCUGUAGGCACUCAACUUCUGAGACCAAUUCAACAAGAUUUAAUUGGAAGCUUGUCGUGGUCAUUUUCAUGGUGGUGGUACUGGUACCUCCUAUUUCAACCAAACUACCACUCUCGGACAUGCACUUCUAUUUACUGCAUUUUUAACUCAUUGGUGUCAUAGUGUUUGUGUGUGUUUAUGAAGGCGAAAGCUUGAAGAUAUCCGUUCAAGUUUAUUUGCGGCCAAUGUGUUUUUGGUGCCGCUAGCUUACAUGAUAACAAGACAUGAACUAAAUGCUUUUGUUUGAUCUAAUUAAUCAUGUAGAUGUGAAGUUCAUGCUAUUUGUAAACUGAACCUUGAAAUGAAGUGAACAAACAGUCCUAUUGUCAAGUCGUAUCGAUACGGAGUGGUUGAUUCAAACCAGGGCCGGGAGAGAAAAUGUGACCCGAGAAGAAUGCGAUCACUGCUGCUCCCACGCUCAUUGGCCGAAGCAACAAAC